This 50-nucleotide transfer RNA is filed under the name Peristrophe hyssopifolia. Its description in RNAcentral is "partial tRNA-Leu". The record is from RNAcentral. Lineage: Eukaryota; Viridiplantae; Streptophyta; Magnoliopsida; Lamiales; Acanthaceae.
UUUUUGGGGAUAGAGGGACUUGAACCCUCACGAUUUUAAAAGUCGACGGA